GGCCCAGAUCGUUUACCGUGAAAAAAUUAGAGUGUUCAAAGCAGGCAGAUCCAAUUCUCUGCCACCGAAUACAUUAGCAUGGGAUAAUGGAAUAGGACCCUGUCCUCCUAUUUUCAGUUGGUUUUGGCAGCGCGAGGACUAGGGUAAUGAUUAAUAGGGAUAGUUGGGGGCAUUAAUAUUUAAUUGUCAGAGGUGAAAUUCUUGGAUUUAUGAAAGAUUAACUUCUGCGAAAGCAUCUGCCAAGGAUGUUUUCAUUAAUCAAGAACGAAAGUUAGGGGAUCGAAGACGAUCAGAUACCGUCGUAGUCUUAACCAUAAACGAUGCCGACCAGCGAUUAGGAGACGUUGAAUACAAAACACCACCAUCGGUGCGGCUGUUCUUGGCGUCGGUUUCGGCCGGCGCGGGGAUGGCUUAGCCCGGUGGCACCGGUGAAUGACUCCCCUAGCAGCUUGUGAGA
Molecule: ribosomal RNA, 457 nt
Filed under: Acanthamoeba sp.
Lineage: Eukaryota; Discosea; Longamoebia; Acanthamoebidae
Description: SSU rRNA
Rfam family: Eukaryotic small subunit ribosomal RNA
Source: RNAcentral